UGGCUCUGGCAUCGAUGAAGAACGCAGCGAAAUGCGAUACGUAAUGUGAAUUGCAGAACUCAGUGAAUCAUCGAAUCUUUGAACGCACAUUGCGCCUCCUGGUAUUCCGGGAGGCAUGCCUGUCCGAGCGUCAUUUCAACCCUCAGGCUCUGCCUGGUCUUGGGCCCUGCCGGCAACGGCUGGCCUUAAAUGCAGUGGCGGUGCCCCUGGGCUCUAUGCGUAGUAACUGCUCUCGCAUCUGGGUUCCGGGGGUCGCUGGCCAGAACACCACACUUCUUUGGUUGACCUCGGAUCAGGUAGGGAUACCCGCUGA
RNAcentral lists this unclassified non-coding RNA (313 nucleotides) under uncultured fungus. RNAcentral's name for it is "partial contains 5.8S ribosomal RNA and internal transcribed spacer 2". The stretch from base 1 to 133 matches the Rfam family "5.8S ribosomal RNA", at positions 22 to 154 of the family's 154-position model. The record is from RNAcentral. Lineage: Eukaryota; Fungi.